Molecule: long non-coding RNA, 1954 nt
Organism: Felis catus (domestic cat)
Lineage: Eukaryota; Metazoa; Chordata; Mammalia; Carnivora; Felidae
Exons: 2
Source: RefSeq, a predicted model, not a curated record
CCCCGAGCACCUGCGUUGGCCCGCAGGGGACCCGCAAGAGAAGGUCGAGGUCAGCGCCCGUGCACACGGCGGCACAGGGGCUCCUGGAGACAGGCGCAGUAAGGCGUCAGCGGAGACAGGGGCACACAGGCAACGCACAGGAGAGAGCGGGGCACACGAUGGGGACGGCGCGACACACUGCUGCCACAGGAUGACUGCAUGGACGGAUGAAGGCAAUUCUUAGCCUUAAAGGGCCCUGGACACAGGAGACUGGAAUCUAAGCUCCCACUCUGCUUCUUGGCCCUUCUGAAACUCCUCAUCUAUGAAACAAAGAGCACAUAUCACUCAACCUCACCUUCAGAAAAGACUCCAUGGACUUCGAGGCCAGAGAGUUGCUCCGGAACAGGGUGUUAGCCUCACCUACAAGCAGAGGUUCUAGUGGGUAGGGGGGUUGAGAGAGGGACCAGGCUUUGGGGAGGACAGAGGACCUUGGGAGCCCCCAGCCCACUGCCCCAACUCUGCCUUUUGCUCUUUCCUUUGCCCCCUAAUCAGAUCAGGCAGCUUCCUACAGGAAGACUUCCCAGGUUUCUCCCCUCUCAGCAUCUCUGGAGUCCUUGGCUCCUGGCUCCCCUCUCCACCACACCCUCAGACGGGCCACCCCCUCCCAGGCCUCACUGGUACGACCCAGCUCCAGCUGGAAGAGCAGGUCCAGAAAGUCUUUGGCCAGUCCCUGCCCCAGGAACAGUUUGAGCAGGUUGGUGGCCACAUCCUGGCGGCAUUCGGUGCUUGUUGUCUCCUCGAUAAGUGCUAUCAGCUGCCCUGGGCCCUGCAGGAGGCAGCAAGGAGAGGCAGGGUCAGAAGACGCACAGGGGAACCCAAACCCUUCACUCUGAGGGCCUGGGACCACCACGGGGAAGGGGGAGGGGUGCUUUCCCACAGAAUGGCGAGGGGCCCUGGGCAUUGGUUAAUUCCUUACCAUCCUGAGAACUGAGAGUUUUGCUCUUCAGAGCAGGUUUAGAAGGACAGGGAGAACAGGCCUGCUGUCCCUGGACCCUCCCACCUUCCCCCGGGGCCCCCUCACCUGGGUGCCCAGCUUCACCUCACGGCACAGCAGCUGCACCAGGGGCUGGUAGCAGCCGGAGGGCAGUACCGUCUCGUCCCGCAGCCGCACCUCCAGCUGCAAGGAGCCCAGGUUGCCCCUGGAACGGGCAGCCUGUGACCUCUCCACCAGGGACCCAGGCCACCUGGGCCGUGCCCCCUCCCGCACUGCCUCCAUACUCCCCCGUGGGGCCUGCCCUCCACCUUGGUUCCCUGCACUGCACCCCUCCCACUUUUUCCCCAAGGUGCUCUCUGCUUGGAAAGCCCUUCCCGCCUCCAAACUCAGGGGAACACCACCCAUUUUCACCGCCUGGCUCCCUGUCACUUCUAGACGCCUUGAACUCUGCGCUUGACCCAUAUGGACAUGCGGGGCUCCCAGCUUUGAAUCUGUAAACUCUCAGAGAUCCGCUCCUCCACAUACACAAUCCCCAACUGUCAUAACAACCUGCCAGGGGAAACUGAGGCUCGAGGGGAUUAAGCAACUCGCCAUAAUGGAUCUAACUACCAAGCUCCUCUGCUCAGACCCCUUCUGGGGAGGGUGCUGACCAAGGCUUAACCUCUCUAAGGCCCCCACGUCCAGAAGCACAGGACAGUUCACUAAGUGAUGCACUAGCACGUGGCCUCAUACACAGUAGAAGCCGCCAAAACGGCUCGUCCUAUGGAAAUGCCUGCUGCGGGACUCAGCCCCUGCCCUGCCCCUGCCCCGCUGAUGGUGGGGAUGGGGGGUCUGGGGUCCUCUGCAGAGAGACAGAGUGAACCAUCCAAAGUGGGGGACACUGCUGAUCCCCUACUUCCGGCCUGAGUGGUGAGCGAGGAGGCCAGAGGGCUUCCUUGAGGGGGUUGCCAGAUUUACCAAAAUAAAAAUACAAGAAACCCA